GAGUUUGAUCAUGGCUCAGAUUGAACGCUGGCGGAAUGCUUUACACAUGCAAGUCGAACGGCAGCACGGGUGCUUGCACCUGGUGGCGAGUGGCGAACGGGUGAGUAAUACAUAGGAACAUACCCAGUAAUGGGGGAUAACGCCGAGAAAUCGGUGCUAAUACCGCAUACGCCCUACGGGGGAAAGCGGGGGAUCUUCGGACCUCGCGUUAUUGGAUUGGCCUAUGUCUGAUUAGCUAGUUGGUGAGGUAAAGGCUCACCAAGGCUUCGAUCAGUAGCUGGUCUGAGAGGAUGAUCAGCCACACUGGAACUGAGACACGGUCCAGACUCCUACGGGAGGCAGCAGUGGGGAAUUUUGGACAAUGGGCGAAAGCCUGAUCCAGCCAUUCCGCGUGAGUGAAGAAGGCCUUCGGGUUGUAAAGCUCUUUCGGCAGGAACGAAAUGGUCACGGUUAAUAACUGUGACUUCUGACGGUACCUGAAGAAGAAGCACCGGCUAACUACGUGCCAGCAGCCGCGGUAAUACGUAGGGUGCGAGCGUUAAUCGGAAUUACUGGGCGUAAAGCGUGCGCAGGCGGUUUUGUAAGUCAGAUGUGAAAGCCCCGGGCUUAACCUGGGAAUGGCGUUUGAAACUAC
This 634-nucleotide ribosomal RNA is filed under the name uncultured beta proteobacterium. Its description in RNAcentral is "bacterial SSU rRNA". It matches the Rfam family "Bacterial small subunit ribosomal RNA", at positions 9 to 636 of the family's 1533-position model. The record is from RNAcentral. Lineage: Bacteria; Pseudomonadati; Pseudomonadota; Betaproteobacteria.